Molecule: ribosomal RNA, 375 nt
Filed under: uncultured bacterium
Lineage: Bacteria
Description: bacterial SSU rRNA
Rfam family: Bacterial small subunit ribosomal RNA
Source: RNAcentral
GACGAACGCUGGCGGCGUGCUUAACACAUGCAAGUCGAGCGGUAAGGCCCUUUCGGGGGUACACGAGCGGCGAACGGGUGAGUAACACGUGGGUGACCUGCCCUCAGCUCUGGGAUAAGCCUGGGAAACUGGGUCUAAUACUGGAUAUGACUCCACGGUGCAUGUCGUGGGGUGGAAAGCCUUGUGCGGCCGAGGAUGGGCCCGCGGCCUAUCAGCUUGUUGGUGGGGUGAUGGCCUACCAAGGCGACGACGGGUAGCCGGCCUGAGAGGGCGACCGGCCACACUGGGACUGAGACACGGCCCAGACUCCUACGGGAGGCAGCAGUGGGGAAUCUUGCGCAAUGGGCGAAAGCCUGACGCAGCGACGCCGCGUGA